AGUAGAACGCUGAGAACUGGUGCUUGCACCGAGUUCAAGGAAGUUGCGAAACGGGUGAGUAACGCGUAGGUAACCUACCUCAUAGCGGGGGAUAACUAUUGGAAACGAUAGCUAAUACCGCAUAAGAGAGACUAACGCAUGUUAGUAAUUUAAAAGGGGCAAUUGCUCCACUAUGAGAUGGACCUGCGUUGUAUUAGCUAGUUGGUGAGGUAAAGGCUCACCAAAGCGACGAUACAUAGCCGACCUGAGAGGGUGAUCGGCCACACUGGGACUGAGACACGGCCCAAACUCCUACGGGAGGCAUCACUAGGGAAUCUUCGGCAAUGUGGGGCAAUCCUGACCGAGCAUCGCCGCGUGAGUGAAGAAGGUUUUCGGAUCGUAAAGCUCUGUUUUUAGAGAAGAAUGAUGGUGGGAGUGGAAAAUCCACCAAGUGACGGUAACUAACCAGAAAGGGACGGCUAACUACGUGCCAGCAGCCGCGGUAAUACGUAGGUCCCGAGCGUUGUCCGGAUUUAUUGGGCGUAAAGCGAGCGCAGGCGGUUUUUUAAGUCUGAAGUUAAAGGCAUUGGCUCAACCAAUGUACGCUUUGGAAACUGGAGAACUUGAGUGCAGAAGGGGAGAGUGGAAUUCCAUGUGUAGCGGUGAAAUGCGUAGAUAUAUGGAGGAACACCGGUGGCGAAAGCGGCUCUCUGGUCUGUAAC
This 701-nucleotide ribosomal RNA is filed under the name uncultured Streptococcaceae bacterium. RNAcentral describes it as "bacterial SSU rRNA". It matches the Rfam family "Bacterial small subunit ribosomal RNA", at positions 60 to 740 of the family's 1533-position model. The record is from RNAcentral. Lineage: Bacteria; Bacillati; Bacillota; Bacilli; Lactobacillales; Streptococcaceae.